AGGAGGUAGGAAGAAGAGGGAGGAGGGAGGGAAAGGGACAAGAUACCAGAAUAAAUUGACGAGGACACAAGGAACGAACGGAGCGCGCAUCGUGUGGCCGCCUGAGGGACGGUACAGUACGUGCAAUAGACUUCACCCCUGCCUGCUGCCCCGUGCCAAAAGCAACGCAGCCCCUGAUAGUGAUGGCUACCCGCUCUGCUCUGCUCUCGGCUGCCGCCUAUUUCCCUUCCCUCUCCGGGCGCUUUGCAUAGGAGUCGGAGCCGCCGCCCGUCCUCCAUCCUCCUGCACGGCAGGGGCAGCCACACUUGUUGGUUCCUCUCCCUCUACCCUCUCCCGUGUGGCGGCGGGGGAUAUCAUCUAUGAUGGGGUGGCUGCGGCUCCACUCCCUCUUCUCCCCUCUCCGGAGGAUGUGGGUGAGGGCGCAUUCCGAGCGCCGGAACCGGAGGGGGAUGCGCAUCCUGUACAAGGACGUGCAGUCCUGCCAGGACGAGGACGUGCGCGUGCUCUGGUCCAUCCUCAUCGACUCCCACCGCCACCACCACCACCACCCGGCCGUCCUCGACCUCGAGCUCUGAAGAAGAAUCUCAUCAGCGCGAUGGCGUGCACGUACGUAUUUAUGCACGUGGGAUCGAUAUGUGAUCAAGAGAGCACAGCACUGGCCUUCCAUUAUUCCUUCAGAAAAAGAAAAAAAGGACUCGAGGUUGAAGAAGAAGAAGAAGAAGAAGAAGAUAGACUGAGAGAGAGGUGUUUAAUUCUAUGCUUUUGUGUGCUGCUGUUUUCCUUUUCUUUUCUUUUUUUUUUGCACCUUUGUUCUGGGCUUGAAAAAACUGAGUGUGAGGUUGAGCUCUCUGUACAUAGACACACACUUGCUCAAGUGCCUUACCUUCAAUUCUACCGUGCGUACUGUACACUUGUGUUCUUUGUGUAUUUGCAUUGCGUGUAUCUCGGAUGGAAGCCUGCUCUGGUUGUUAGGCUAGUGUAUCUGCCUCUGCUUUUCUUUCUUCUUCUUUACAUCAUCUUUUUGUUUUAGAUUGCCUGUCCAUUUCUGCUUGAUGGGUGCCCUGACGACGACGCGUCCCUGGCCGGCCGCCGGCGGCCCUCGUUUUCUCGCGCACGGAUGGCCGUGUGCUCAUGUACACAUAUCGAUCGAUGCUUCUAUGUAAUCCAAGACACACAAAUCUGGCUUGUGUUGUGUUCCUAUCCAUUUUAUCGCAAAUUGCCGGGACAGAAACAAGUAUCUUUCAGCGGAAGCAGCCGGCCGGCUUGCUUGCCGACACUCUACCUUAUUAUCGAAUAUUUGUCGGUCGUUAGUAUAUUUUUUAACUAAAACACGAUAAAUAAAAAAGAACAGAGAAAAUAUUAUUUUUGUGCACGAGUUUGUUGAGCGAGAUUCUUUUUUAUAUAUGUAUCUUUUGAUGCAAACAUUUAUGUAUUCGAU
RNAcentral lists this unclassified non-coding RNA (1438 nucleotides) under Zea mays. RNAcentral's name for it is "misc RNA Zm00001eb302920". The record is from RNAcentral. Lineage: Eukaryota; Viridiplantae; Streptophyta; Magnoliopsida; Poales; Poaceae.